ACCAGGGAGGAAGGGCAGAACCCAGGCCUGGGAGACGGAGGCUGGCAGGGGUCUCCAAGUCAGGCUUAUUUGAAGGGCUGGGGAAUUGGUGAGCAUAAGGGCACGAAAGCUUUCCCGAGUCUGGACCUAGCCGGAAGGUGGAAGAACUUGUAGACUUCCCUCUCAAGCUGCCCGGAAGGGUUCUCUGGAUUCUGAGUUAGGGGAGCGUCUAGAUUGACUCCUGCUUCCUGACCUGCCGUGUAACCUUUAGCAGACACACUUCACCUUCAGGGCGAGGUUUCCUAGCCCACCAAGCGGCAAGAGCCAGAGGACUCGGAGGAGCACCCCGGGAGAGCGCCUACGUCUCAGUCUAGCACUGUCUCGCCGGAAGGCAGUAUGACUGAGUAGAGUCAGACUCCAGGAGUAACCAUCUACACGUGCCUCGCAGAAGACCGGGGUUUCCUUCCAGCCUGAGCCACCCCAGCUUUGGGAUCUGAGCUGCCACCUAACCUCCUCGGGCCUCACUAUUUGCAUCUGUAAAAGCGAUUAGGCCUGUUCUCCUUAGGAACAGGCCUAGCACAAUGUCUGGCACCUAAUUUCAUUGAAGAUUUUUAAGCAGUGGAGUGACACAAUCUGAUUUAAAAUCAUUCUGCUAACAAUGUGGAUAAAAAAAAUGCAAAGGGCAAGAAUGCAAGCAGGAAGACAGGUGGGCCAGAGUCUACUCCAGAAUUUCUCAAAGAAUGGUCCAAGAAAACUGGGCAUCAAUAUCACCUGGGAUGCCUGAGAAAGAAGGGAGCUCCGUUGAAGUAGUUUGCGCCUUAUAAAUAUUUACUGAUUAAAACAAAAAGGAAAAUUUAAGGACAUCCAGGCGAU
Molecule: long non-coding RNA, 852 nt
Organism: Prionailurus viverrinus (fishing cat)
Lineage: Eukaryota; Metazoa; Chordata; Mammalia; Carnivora; Felidae
Exons: 7
Source: RefSeq, a predicted model, not a curated record